UACGGAGGAUCCAAGCGUUAUCCGGAUUCAUUGGGUUUAAAGGGUGCGUAGGCGGAAUGAUAAGUCAGUGGUGAAAUCCUGCAGCUUAACUGUAGAAUUGCCUUUGAUACUGAUGAGCUUGAAUACACUAGAGGUAGGCGGAAUGUGACAAGUAGCGGUGAAAUGCAUAGAUAUGUCACAGAACACCGAUUGCGAGGCAGCUUACUAAAGUCUUAUUGACGCUGAGGCACGAAAGCGUGGGGAUCAAACAGG
This 252-nucleotide ribosomal RNA is filed under the name uncultured bacterium. RNAcentral describes it as "partial 16S ribosomal RNA". It matches the Rfam family "Bacterial small subunit ribosomal RNA", at positions 524 to 776 of the family's 1533-position model. The record is from RNAcentral.